Solanum lycopersicum (tomato) is the source of this 773-nucleotide long non-coding RNA. RefSeq lists it as uncharacterized. The record is from RefSeq and is a predicted model, not a curated record. Lineage: Eukaryota; Viridiplantae; Streptophyta; Magnoliopsida; Solanales; Solanaceae.
UUUCUUGAGGGUUUGAUGUUUAGACUUCUCUCUAACAUUUGUUUUGAUUCAUCUUUAUUUCCUUUUCACUUUCAGCCUCAUCACAUCUAGCUUGAAGUUUCAUUAUAAUUCUAGCUUGCGAUUUCAUUAUAAUUUUAUUCUCAAUUUUGUUAAUUAUGUAGUUGUGAUGUGUUUUUUGUCAAUCCGUUCUUUUGUUUUACUCUUUACCGUUAUAAGUUUUUAAUGAUAUUCUUUGAUAAUAUAUAUAUAUUUCGUAAGGAAAAAGAAGGUUAUACAUAUAAUUUCAAUCAGAUCCAGCUAUCUUAUACUACAUUUUAGAGUUUUAGUGUCAUCGUCAUCAAAAUAUUAGUUGUAAUAUUGAUGUUUAUUUGCUUUCCUUCUCUCGUGUUCUUCUCUCUAUUUUUUUUUACGAUUUGAUUUUUAGAUUUUUCUCUAACAUUCGGUUUAAUUUUUUUGCAGAUUCAUCUUUAUUUUUUUUUCUCCAUCAAUUUCAUCGCUUCUAGCUUGAGAUUUCACAAUAAUUCUAUUUCACAUAUGUUAUUCGCAUUGUUUUGGUAGAACUUUGGCCACGGAAGGAUUGACAAAUUCGAAUACGAGAUGGCCUGGAAUUAACGGUUGUUUAUGAGUGUAUUCGAUAUUUCCAUUAAAGUUCAAGAUGCAAGUCUUACAUUGAAGGAUAAAAAUAUUUCCUAACAAAGGUAACUUUAUAUUUGAGGAAUAAACGCCAUGGGUAAGUGCUAUACUUUUCAAUUUGUUCUCCUCCAAAACUUACU